ACCAUUUCACAUUGUUUAGUCCACCAUAGCUUUUAUUGUCAAUAAUUUAAUUAAUUCUACAAAUUAAUUAAAAUUAUUAAAUCUUACAUCAUAUUUCGUACUCAUUUCGCCUCAACAAGCGGUCCGUUCAAAACUAGGGAAGAAUAUUUUAAGGAACAAAAAAUUCAAAAUUGGUUAGAUACGUGCUGGUGAACGCUGCUCGCUUAGGCUCAACAGCUCCUUGUCGCUGCACCACGUCAUGGGGAGCUUAAACUGGACUACAGCAACAACGAACCAGGCGAUACUUCGUCCGGCGAUUGAACCCAGCUCGUCGAAUAGCCAGCCCCGAUGCUCCAGGUCCAGGAAUCUGCAUCCGGAGUUGAGAUAGGUCUAUCAACAGAAGUCGAUGUGCGCGACGUCAACUUCUUCCUGGAAUCGCGUCCAAGCAAGGGCCGCGGACAUUCCCUACCAUUUUAAUUCCGCAAGUUCAAUAUUUUUUGCAAUAUGGCUAAUAAAGUAAUAAUCAUUAGCACUCAUUCGUAAUAAUCUUUUUAAGGAUGUACUAAUUAUAAUAAAAUCUGCCUUGUAUUAUGUGCCUUCUGUUCCACAUCUAAUACUGUGCAGGUUUUGUAAACCUUAGUCCAUAGACCGGAUUGUUGGACUUCAAAAUUCUCAGGUAUGUAUGAUUCUCCUUGAUAUUUUUCUUCACUGGUAAAACUAGCGGGCACUGAUAAACAAUACACAUGUAAUUUGGAAAAUUCAAGGGUGCGUAACGUAUUUCCUGGUGAGUGAUGUAGAACGUAUGUCCAUUUAUCCAAUAAAAACUUUAGAUUGCAGUGGUAACUUAACUACAAUAAAGAACGACUAUGACGACAUCGGUUAUAAUGACCUUAGAGCGAGGCCUCCGCCGGAGCUCUAUACAAACACCUAGAUGUAAUCAUACUCCGCUAACGACACUGGAUAAAGCGACCAAUAUCGUCGUAACUUAUCAGCUAUAACGAUCCAUCGCCGUAUUUGGUUUACUAAGUCUAAAUAUUAUUUUGGCCUUAGGGUAAUGUAAGAAGUCAUUAUGACAAGGAUUUAUUUUAUUACCUGCUGCGACAUUUCCCAAUUUCUCUGCUCUUUCUCAUUUAUCUCUUUUUGUAUUCGAUUUCAUUGCCAUUUUGUUUGCAAACUGACUAGUUUGUAGACUUAAACAUAUAAUAAAAUAUUAUUUUUGAUAAAAAAACAUAAUAAGGUCCCUUCAAUGUUGUUUGAAAUGUAUAAUUAUUAUAUUUAUUGACAGGAAUACUAAGAAAAUUAUAAAAUUAAAUAAAAUAUAUUUUUGUUAUCAUAUUGAGUGCCCAAUCUAACUACAGAAGGUUCUAGAGAAGUCAUCCUCCAACGCAUUGGAAAAAUUUACCAUCACUUUAGAAGAGAGAUGGCCAAAAGGAGUAUGCAACAGAAAUAUUACAAUGAAUUAAAUAACAAAUAAGUAUUAAAGUGCAGGUAAGCCGAAGCGGACAUGUUACUAUUAAAAAAAAGCACACUAUACAUUGGAGAUUAGAUAUCUCGAGUGUUGCAGAUGUGUUGUGUCUAUAACUCCUAUUGAUCGCCGAGGAAUUCAAACAAUGAAAGGGAAAAAAAAUGAAGAAAUCUGUACAGCGAUGUCAUCCGUCGAACGUGCCAUGGUUGGUACACUACACCCACUUGUAGCGGCUGCACUGCGUACAGAGUAGCGGUUACCAGCAUUGCUAUUUUGCAAACAGCGCUCGAUAUGGCCGUGCAGCUCGAUGCAACUAGGCUUUACUUAAAAAUGACCCUGACUUCAGACUCCAACCAAUCGAGUAUUUUCAGGAUGAAGUCGGUAAUCGUAAAAUAAAAAUAAUUGAAGGGACUAACGAGUUUUAUUUUAACUAUAUGAUAAUAUGUUACAGCCCCCAUGUGAUUGCCUCCUCAGUACUCAAGUUUCGACACCACUUCUGAAGUUUUUCUUAACCAUUUCAUAUGCUUUUAAUAUUAAAACAUACAUAAAUUUUCAUACUCUAAACAUAUAAACGGCUACUUGCCACCGGCCAUUUCAAUAUUUUGUUCAUCUCUGUCCUCUUAUGCUUAUUACAUAUAAUAACAUGAAUAUUAGUGACUAGUAAAUAAAAAAAUAAACAUUAUGUUUACCCAGUACCCUUACUUAUUCUUACCAUUGGCAAAAGAUAUAUAUAUAUAUAUAUAUACCCAUACCUACAGUAUUAUGAUUCGUUUAUUUGUUACAGAUAAUAAUAAAACCACCAAACCGUCUCGAUAAAGAAACAAUCAAUUUUCGCACUUUGCCGAACUUUUAAAACACAAGAAAAAAUUCAAACCUUAAAUCUAAGUCUGAGGAGUGUCAGCGCACAUAACAACGAGACAAUCAAUUCACGGCUUUCGACGAAUUUCAAACAGAUGAAAAAAAUCUUAAAUCUAAAUUUGAAGAAUUUAGUAACCCAUUAACACCUAAUGGUAAUGAUGAUCAGCAUUACAUCAACGAUUCACAGAAAAGAAGUUAAUCAAUCAUGGAGAUAUUCAUCCACCUUUGUCACCAAAUCCACCCCCACCAGAUAGUCCACCGACUCUUACAUCGAAAAAAGAAAUAAAAGAUGAUGAUAAUGGUGAUGGCGAAGAUUAUAGUGAAUUAGUUUAAUACGUCCGAUAUGUCGUACCAUACUAAAGAACCUGAAGAGAUGGUGACUGACUUCAAAAAUAGUCAGUCUAAAGAAGAAAAAGCAAAGGAUGGAGAAGAAAUUAUGUACCGAAAUUUUAUACGCGGCACUUGUAAGAGGAGCGCGUCGUGUAUAUUCGUCCACAAAGUGAUAUUAUCACAGUUGGACAAUGUUUACAAAUUUUGUAAUGAUUUUCAAAACUCAGGAUGUAAAAGACGUAAUUGUAGAUUCGUUCACGCAACGGUAUUCGAAAGGGAAUCUUUUCGGAGAACAGCAUAUCUGCCGCCGCAUGCUUUUAGUCACCUAAAAGAAAAUAAUAAUAUUCAGACGCCGACUCCAGCUGAAGCUUCGUCCGUGAAUACAAUCCGGGCGCCUGACGGUAAUCAACCGCCUCCUCCAAAACUUGACAGGUCGCAACUCAUUAUUACUAAAACGAAAAAACUUAGGCAAAGUAAUGACUUGAACAACAAGAUAACUUAAAUUAACAGUAAGGCGCAGAGACUCUGGACGGUGUUAACUUCGAUUAUAAAGUCAGAGUCGCAGAAGUAAAAAAAUCUUAGCAACGGCAGUAGCUUCUUUAACAUAAAGGAGGAUACGAAACAGAUAAUAAUGGAAACACUAAUCGUCCCGAUAAAGAAACCAUCGAUGCGCACUCUGUCGGACUUUAAAACACCGCAAAAUGUCAAAUCUUAAAUCUAACUUUGAGGACUGGCAAUUAUUGAAUUAUCAUAAAUCAGUAAUAAACCACAUAUACAACUCGCCAGCUAGCAACUGGAGAAUAUUAAAACUAAAGCAGAGUAGUAAGCAUACGCUGCUUACUAUUCUGCUUUAGUUAGUAGUGAAGACUACCAAUAAUACCAAGAUAACUUUUGAAUCCCCAAAAUAUGAUGCAGAUGAUGGAUUGUGAUGACAUCUAAACUUGCGAGGACCGUCGGAAAUGAACUGCCCAUUGUAAUGAAUAAUACUUUAAAUACACCUGCGACACUUUAAAACACCAUGGACACAUUUUAUACCUCACUACUGAUCGCAACGGACCAGCUUCUCCAGUCUCCACAAACAUUUUGCGCAUCGCUAUUGGUA
Molecule: unclassified non-coding RNA, 3734 nt
Filed under: Manduca sexta (tobacco hornworm)
Lineage: Eukaryota; Metazoa; Arthropoda; Insecta; Lepidoptera; Sphingidae
Description: protein cps3, transcript variant X1
Source: RNAcentral